Molecule: long non-coding RNA, 639 nt
Organism: Cyprinus carpio carpio
Lineage: Eukaryota; Metazoa; Chordata; Actinopteri; Cypriniformes; Cyprinidae
Source: Ensembl
AGAACAGACUAUUUUUUUUUUUUACUGUUUGGAGGGUUGGCUCAGUUUCCAGUCCUAAGUGUAAUAACAAACACAAUUUUUUUCUCAGUUUUCUUGACCCUUUUGAGGUCUGAUUCUGUAUCACAGAUUUAUUUAGCACUUAAAAAAAAACACACAUCUUUGCCAGAUAACAUUGGGCUACUAUAGUACAUGUGUCAAGCAUUUAUUUACAAAUUAGCCCAUUUGAUUUCUCAAAACUAUGCAAAGACCUACCACUUGCAGUUCUAACCUUUGUUUCUUCUCUUCCACACUGUUGCUGGUCUUCUUGAUGCCUUUGAGGCCAUGUGUCAGUUCAAAUGCAUUACAGUGACCAGGCCAUCAGACCACACCUAACAGCAAUUUGCAAUGGACUGACCUUCCUGACAUCACAAAAAGCAUUCUGAUGGCUAUGAAGCAGGAAGACUGCCCAUAUUCCAAGGAAGACAGCUGACAGAAGGAACAUUCCAGCUCAAGAGUGGCCUAUGUUUAGGCCUGUUUAUAUUCAUGUUUUGUGUUCAGUAAGCUACACAGUUCUCUAUGCAGUCUUGGGAGUUUUAAAUAACAGAUUAUUGCAGAUCAGAAUUAUUCCAUAGCCAAACAAUGGCAUUGAUUGUUUACAAG